UACGGGGGGUGCGAGCGUUGUCCGGAAUCACUGGGCGUAAGGGCGCGUAGGUGGUCUGAUAAGGGUGUGGUGAAAGCCCGGGGCUCAACCCCGGGUCGGCCGUGCCGACUGUUAGACUAGAGUGCUGUAGGGGCAGGCGGAAUUCCGGGUGUAGCGGUGGAAUGCGUAGAGAUCCGGAGGAAGACCGGUGGCGAAGGCGGCCUGCUGGGCAGUUACUGACACUGAGGCGCGACAGCGUGGGGAGCAAACAGGG
This 253-nucleotide ribosomal RNA is filed under the name uncultured bacterium. RNAcentral describes it as "partial 16S ribosomal RNA". It matches the Rfam family "Bacterial small subunit ribosomal RNA", at positions 524 to 777 of the family's 1533-position model. The record is from RNAcentral.